RNAcentral lists this small RNA (541 nucleotides) under Pongo abelii (Sumatran orangutan). RNAcentral describes it as "retained intron". The record is from RNAcentral. Lineage: Eukaryota; Metazoa; Chordata; Mammalia; Primates; Hominidae.
UGAUCUUGAUGCCAGGGCAAAGAGUGAGAGAUACCGUGCACUUUUCCGGCUGCCCAAAGAUGAAAAAUUAGAUGGCCACACAGACUGCACCCUCUGGACUCCAUUUAACAAAAUGCACAUUCUGGGGCAGAUGUUUGUGUCCACAAAUUACAUCUGUUUUACCAGCAAGGAGGAGAACUUAUGUAGCCUCAUUAUCCCGCUCCGUGAGGUGACAAUUGUGGAAAAGGCAGACAGCUCCAGUGUGCUCCCCAGUCCCUUAUCCAUCAGCACGCGAAACAGGAUGACCUUCCUAUUUGCCAACUUGAAAGAUAGAGACUUUCUAGUGCAGAGGAUCUCAGAUUUCCUGCAACAGACUACUUCCAAAAUAUAUUCUGACAAGGAGUUUGCAGGAAGUUACAACAGUUCAGAUGAUGAGGUCUGUGGGAGACACCUGAAAGUGUUUUUGGUUUAUCCUGUUCCUGUGCCCAAGUGUGUUCACUUCCUUGCCCAUUUUGUUUGAUCUUCAAGCUUUGCGUCUGACGCCCAGAGCAAUAUCUCAGCA